GCAUCUUACCUGGUUUGGGGAGCAGCCUUAGAGCCUGCUGCACAGAUACUGAGGAGGAGGCAGGGGCUGUGUCUUCUCCUAGGGAGCAGAACCUGUUCUCUCUCUUGCAUAGCUGUGGCCAACACGAUAGCUUUGUCAGCUCUCAUAUGCUGCAGUUCACAAUCCCCUCUGCUUCACCAGAGCAGUUUUUCAAAGGUUCAUAGUGUAAAACACAUCACUCAAAAGAUGCAUAUUCACCUCUUUGAAGAGUUUUGUUUUUCACAUGGCCCUAUUAGCAAUACACUUCCCCAUAUGACAGCAGGCUGAGCAGAGCUUACCAUACGAGUGAUGCUAUCUAAGCACAUCCAAACCCACGAUUGCUUCUGAGCAGAGAUGGAGAAAUGGACAUCAACAAAAGCAAUUCUGGUUUGCCAGGAAGACCCGGUGUGUGAUUUUUACCACAUACCACACAGCAGGCAGGAGAAAACAAACUCCAGAUUAGCUGAAUUCCUUCUGCGACCGAACCUGUGUUUUUGAAAGAGCCUGCUUCAGUACACAAGUGUUUGUGGGAGAUUAGUCCCUAUUAACUAAUAACCUUUGAUUAUGUUUAUUCCCACAGCUUGUUUGCUCAGGUGUUUGUCACACUGAAGCAGAAAUAUGCUUUGGUGACACAGCUUGUUCAUGGCUCAGCCUGCAUUUUUGUGAUUUCUUGGCACCUGAAUGAUGGAUUACUAUUUUCUGAGCGAAUCCCUUCUCUGAAAGGCCUUCCAUGCAAGGAAGGGCUCUGGGUAAUUAGAAAACAAUAACCUUGGCAUACCCUCCUGAUUUGUUUUUAAUGAAAUUAGGUGUGCAGAGGGUAGAUGCUUCGUCCAGAGUCAAAUAGUGAAUAAGUGGCAGAACUGACAUUCCUUGUUCCUGCUCCAUGCCUCCAACAAGCAGUCCAGUCGGCUUCCCCUGCCUUUCCAGGCUGUUGGGUGGUUAAAAGGCUAUCUGUCUGCUUGCUUUUUCAUACAGAAUUAUAACAAAAAAAAGCCAACGUCAUGUAUGGGGAAGCCUUGCACUGACACAGACUGGAUCAGAUUAAUUAACAGAAUGCACACUGCGUCCUCAGCCAGUGCUCAGCAGCUCAGUUGUAGUAAACUGAGCGCAUCGCAGCCAUGUAUGGAUGUUACCUU
Molecule: long non-coding RNA, 1154 nt
Filed under: Coturnix japonica (Japanese quail)
Lineage: Eukaryota; Metazoa; Chordata; Aves; Galliformes; Phasianidae
Description: lncRNA (ENSCJPG00005005786.1)
Source: RNAcentral